RNAcentral lists this ribosomal RNA (495 nucleotides) under uncultured bacterium. RNAcentral describes it as "partial 16S ribosomal RNA". It matches the Rfam family "Bacterial small subunit ribosomal RNA", at positions 28 to 507 of the family's 1533-position model. The record is from RNAcentral.
GAUGAACGCUGGCGGCGUGCCUAAUACAUGCAAGUCGAACGCUGAAGGCGGAUCUUGCUCUUCUGGAUGAGUUGCGAACGGGUGAGUAACGCGUAGGUAACCUGCCUGUUAGCGGGGGAUAACUAUUGGAAACGAUAGCUAAUACCGCAUGACAACAGUUAUUGCAUGAUAACUGUUUAAAAGGGGCAACUGCUCCACUACCAGAUGUACCUGCGUUGUAUUAGCUAUUUGGUGUGGUAACGGCUCACCAAGGCGACGAUGCAUAUACGACCUGGGAGGGUGGUCGGCCGCACUGGGAAUGGGACAGGGACCAGAGGACUAAGGGAGGCAGCAGUAGGGAAUCGUAGGCAAUGGACGGAAGUCUGACCGAGGAACGCCGAGUGAGUGAAGAAGGUUUUCGGAUCGGAAAGCUCUGUUGUAAGAGAAGAACGAGUGUGAGAGUGGAAAGUUCACACUGUGACGGUAACUUAAGAGAAAGGAACGGCUAACUACGUG